Zonotrichia leucophrys gambelii is the source of this 369-nucleotide long non-coding RNA. RefSeq lists it as uncharacterized. The transcript is spliced from 3 exons. The record is from RefSeq and is a predicted model, not a curated record. NCBI's taxonomy places the organism in Eukaryota, Metazoa, Chordata, Aves, Passeriformes, Passerellidae.
GGGAAAUCAGUUCCAGUCUUCAGUGCUGCAGAGUCCAGAUAAUAAUUCCCAGCCUCUCACCAGUUACUCUGCAUGGGAAGAGGAUUACACCUCUGACAACUCAGUGAGGAGUUGCUGGCAGCAAGCAGAGCAGCACUGCCUGCAGAGGUGCUUCAUGGUCUGGUCAGCUCAAACUCAACACCAUGUGAAGGCCCAGCAGCACUGCAGGCGUGUUCGGCUGUCUCGAGCCUUUCUCAGCUGGCACCAGUGGGUCAUGGAAAAUAAGAACCAAGAAGCAGCAGCAGCACUAAAACAUGGAGUUCAUUGUGUCCAGGUGGCUUUCAGCCUGUGGAAAAGGAGACUGGCCCAGAAAGUGGAAGCUGACCGGAG